GCAAGUCGAGGGGUAACGAUGUCCUUGGACAGGCGACGACCGGCGCACGGGUGAGUAACGCGUAUGCAACCUACCUGUUACAGAGAGAUAGCCCGAAGAAAUUCGGAUUAAUAUCUCAUAAUACUAUUUAUUCGCAUGAAUGAAUAUUUAAAGCUCCGGCGGUUACAGAUGGGUAUGCGUGACAUUAGUUUGUUGGUGAGGUAACGGCACACCAAGACUGCGAUGUCUAGGGGGUCUGAAAGGAGGAUC
RNAcentral lists this ribosomal RNA (249 nucleotides) under uncultured bacterium. Its description in RNAcentral is "partial 16S ribosomal RNA". It matches the Rfam family "Bacterial small subunit ribosomal RNA", at positions 57 to 305 of the family's 1533-position model. The record is from RNAcentral.